UAUGAAACAGCUCAACAAAGUUUUUAU
This 27-nucleotide small RNA is filed under the name Bombyx mori (domestic silkworm). RNAcentral describes it as "ovarian small RNA-23832". Lineage: Eukaryota; Metazoa; Arthropoda; Insecta; Lepidoptera; Bombycidae. The record is from RNAcentral.